RNAcentral lists this unclassified non-coding RNA (21 nucleotides) under Amphidinium carterae. RNAcentral describes it as "trans-spliced leader". The record is from RNAcentral. Lineage: Eukaryota; Dinophyceae; Amphidiniales; Amphidiniaceae.
UUCUUUAGUCAUUUUGGCUCA